This 793-nucleotide ribosomal RNA is filed under the name uncultured bacterium. RNAcentral's name for it is "bacterial SSU rRNA". It matches the Rfam family "Bacterial small subunit ribosomal RNA", at positions 8 to 796 of the family's 1533-position model. The record is from RNAcentral.
AGAGUUUGAUCAUGGCUCAGGAUGAACGCUAGCGGCAGGCUUAAUACAUGCAAGUCGUGGGGCAGCACAGGUAGCAAUACUGGGUGGCGACCGGCAAACGGGUGCGGAACACGUACGCAACCUUCCUUUAAGUGGGGAAUAGCCCAGGGAAACUUGGAUUAAUACCCCGUAACACUAUGAAGUGGCAUCAUUUUAUAGUUAAAGCUACGGCGCUUAAAGAUGGGCGUGCGGCUGAUUAGGUAGUUGGCGGAGUAACAGCCCACCAAGCCAACGAUCAGUAACUGGUGUGAGAGCACGACCAGUCACACGGGCACUGAGACACGGGCCCGACUCCUACGGGAGGCAGCAGUAAGGAAUAUUGGUCAAUGGACGCAAGUCUGAACCAGCCAUGCCGCGUGGAGGAUGAAGGCCCUCUGGGUUGUAAACUUCUUUUAUUUGGGAAGAAACCUAUCCUUUCUAGGGUAGUUGACGGUACCAGAUGAAUAAGCACCGGCUAACUCCGUGCCAGCAGCCGCGGUAAUACGGAGGGUGCAAGCGUUAUCCGGAUUCACUGGGUUUAAAGGGUGCGUAGGUGGGCAGGUAAGUCAGUGGUGAAAUCUCUGAGCUUGACUCAGAAACUGCCGUUGAUACUAUCUGUCUUGAAUAUCGUGGAGGUGAGCGGAAUAUGUCAUGUAGCGGUGAAAUGCUUAGAUAUGACAUAGAACACCAAUUGCGAAGGCAGCUCGCUACACGGUUAUUGACACUGAGGCACGAAAGCGUGGGGAUCAAACAGGAUUAGAUACCCCAGUAGUCC